Molecule: ribosomal RNA, 433 nt
Filed under: uncultured bacterium
Lineage: Bacteria
Description: partial 16S ribosomal RNA
Rfam family: Bacterial small subunit ribosomal RNA
Source: RNAcentral
AACGAACGCUGGCGGCAUGCCUAACACAUGCAAGUCGAACGAGACCUUCGGGUCUAGUGGCGCACGGGUGCGUCACGCGUGGGAACCUGCCCUUAGGUUCGGAAUAACUCCCCGAAAGGGGUGCUAAUACCGGAUAAUGUCUUCGGACCAAAGAUUUAUCGCCUUUGGUUGGGCCCGCGUUGGAUUAGCUAGUUGGUAGGGUAAAAGCCUACCACGGCGACGAUCCAUAGCUGGUCUGAGAGGAUGAUUAGCCACACUGGGACUGAGACACGGCCCAGACUCCUACGGGAGGCAGCAGUGGGGAAUAUUGGACAAUGGGCGAAAGCCUGAUCCAGCAAUGCCGCGUGAGUGAUGAAGGCCUUAGGGUUGUAAAGCUCUUUUACCCGGGAUGAUAAUGACAGUACCGGGAGAAUAAGCUCCGGCUAACUCCGUG